RNAcentral lists this ribosomal RNA (314 nucleotides) under uncultured bacterium. RNAcentral's name for it is "partial 16S ribosomal RNA". It matches the Rfam family "Bacterial small subunit ribosomal RNA", at positions 499 to 809 of the family's 1533-position model. The record is from RNAcentral.
UUAUAAGAGACAGCAGCCGCCGCGGGAAAACGGAGGGUGCAAGCGUUAAUCGGAAUUACUGGGCGUAAGGCGUGCGUAGGCGGUUCGUUAAGUCUGUUGUGAAAGCCCCGGGCUCAACCUGGGAAUGGCAAUGGAUACUGGCGAGCUAGAGUGUGUCAGAGGAUGGUGGAAUUCCCGGUGUAGCGGUGAAAUGCGUAGAGAUCGGGAGGAACAUCAGUGGCGAAGGCGGCCAUCUGGGACAACACUGACGCUGAGGCACGAAAGCGUGGGGAGCAAACAGGAUUAGAGACCCCCGUAGUCCCUGUCUCUUAUAA